Molecule: ribosomal RNA, 842 nt
Filed under: Parasutterella excrementihominis CAG:233
Lineage: Bacteria; Pseudomonadati; Pseudomonadota; Betaproteobacteria; Burkholderiales; Sutterellaceae
Description: SSU rRNA
Rfam family: Bacterial small subunit ribosomal RNA
Source: RNAcentral
AGAGUUUGAUCCUGGCUCAGAUUGAACGCUGGCGGAACGCUUUACACAUGCAAGUCGAACGGUAACGCGGAGAGAAGCUUGCUUCUCUCCGGCGACGAGUGGCGAACGGGUGAGUAAUACAUCGGAACGUGUCCGCUCGUGGGGGACAACCAGCCGAAAGGUUGGCUAAUACCGCAUGAGUUCUACGGAAGAAAGAGGGGGACCCGCAAGGGCCUCUCGCGAGCGGAGCGGCCGAUGACUGAUUAGCCGGUUGGUGAGGUAACGGCUCACCAAAGCAACGAUCAGUAGCUGGUCUGAGAGGACGACCAGCCACACUGGGACUGAGACACGGCCCAGACUCCUACGGGAGGCAGCAGUGGGGAAUUUUGGACAAUGGGCGCAAGCCUGAUCCAGCUAUUCCGCGUGUGGGAUGAAGGCCCUCGGGUUGUAAACCACUUUUGUAGAGAACGAAAAGACACCUUUUAAAAAAGGGUGUUGCUGACGGUACUCUAAGAAUAAGCACCGGCUAACUACGUGCCAGCAGCCGCGGUAAUACGUAGGGUGCGAGCGUUAAUCGGAAUUACUGGGCGUAAAGGGUGCGCAGGCGGUUGAGUAAGACAGAUGUGAAAUCCCCGAGCUUAACUCGGGAAUGGCAUAUGUGACUGCUCGACUAGAGUGUGUCAGAGGGAGGUGGAAUUCCACGUGUAGCAGUGAAAUGCGUAGAUAUGUGGAAGAACACCGAUGGCGAAGGCAGCCUCCUGGGACAUAACUGACGCUCAGGCACGAAAGCGUGGGGAGCAAACAGGAUUAGAUACCCUGGUAGUCCACGCCCUAAACGAUGUUAACUAGUUGUUGGGAAGUAA